UUUUAUUUGACUCAAUAAAUUAGUUAUGGAGGUGGAAGACGCUUCUCACCUUCAUAUCCCUCCUUAAGCAUAGGUUAAUUAGGGAACGUCCUCCAAUUAACCACUAAUCAACAAGUUGCCAAGGAACGUCCUUGGGCCUUUGGCAUCUAACAACUGUUAAUUGCAUUAAGAAAUAGAGAGACCUAAUUCUAGCUACCCAAACGUAUGGUGAUAUUGCUAGAUUAUGCAAUUUCUUAGGUUUUUACACCAAGGGUUACUUGUGUUUGAAUAAUUCAAGCAAUUACGGACUUCAAACUAUCCAAACUAACAAAUUAUCACUUUGCAAUCAAGAAUCAAUGGGC
RNAcentral lists this long non-coding RNA (341 nucleotides) under Manihot esculenta (cassava). RNAcentral describes it as "long non-coding RNA (MESC_LNC006960)". Lineage: Eukaryota; Viridiplantae; Streptophyta; Magnoliopsida; Malpighiales; Euphorbiaceae. The record is from RNAcentral.